RNAcentral lists this long non-coding RNA (722 nucleotides) under Anser cygnoides (Swan goose). RNAcentral's name for it is "lncRNA (ENSACDG00005015340.1)". Lineage: Eukaryota; Metazoa; Chordata; Aves; Anseriformes; Anatidae. The record is from RNAcentral.
GGACGGGGACAGGGACAAGGUGGGGACAGGGAAAGGGAUGGGGACAGGGACAGGGAUGGGAUGGCACAGGGUGGAAAUGGGGACCAGGACAGUGAUGGGGACAGGGAAGGGGAUGGGGCCGUCACUCACCCCUUGGCCUCAGCCACCUCCGGGGAGCUGGGGGCUGCCGAGAGCCCCCCCAUUUCUUCCAGCCUGGGUGGGACACGGGGGGGGAGGGUCAGAGCUACGGGGCCCCCGCCACACGCGGUGUCACCGUGCCGUGUCCCCAAACACACACGGUGUCCCCAAGCCCCCUCUGCAGUGUCCCCAAGCCCCCAAGCAACGUCCCCGAGACCCCAUGCAACGUCCCCAAGCACCCACGAAAUGUCCCCAAGACCCCCCACAAAGCCCCCAGCCCCCCACAACGUCCCCAAGCCCCCAGGCGAUGUCCCCGCGCCCCCACCUGGCGAGCAGCAGGCGCAGGACGUCGUGGGGCUGGGUGAAGGCACGGAAGGUGGCGAGGAAGGUGGGGACGAAGGCUCCGUCCCCGCGGGCCGGGGCCUCCAGCAGCAUCCCAGUGCCACCCCAUAGCAUCCCAGUGGUGCUCUCAGUGCUCCCAGUGCUCCCAGUGCCACCUCAUAGCAUCCCAGUGCUCUCGUGCUGCCCUAUAGCAUCUCAGUGGUGCUCCCAGUGCUCCCAGUGCUGCCCCAUAGCAUCCCAGUGCUCCCAGUGCUGUCCCAUAG